Oncorhynchus keta (chum salmon) is the source of this 338-nucleotide long non-coding RNA. RefSeq lists it as uncharacterized. The record is from RefSeq and is a predicted model, not a curated record. The transcript has 3 exons. NCBI's taxonomy places the organism in Eukaryota, Metazoa, Chordata, Actinopteri, Salmoniformes, Salmonidae.
CAGGUUACUAUCAGCCUCAGCACCUACAACACAACAUCAGGUUACUAUCAGCCUCAGCACCUACAACACAACAUCAGGUUACUGUCAGCCUCAGCACCGACAACACAACAUCAGGUUACUACCAGCCUCAGCACCGACAACACAACAUCAGGUUACUACCAGCCUCAGCACCUACAACAUCAGGUUACUAUCAGCCUCAGCACCUACAACAUCAGGUUACUAUCAGCCUCAGCACCUACAACAUCAGGUUACUACCAGCCUCAGCACCUACAACACAACAUCAGGUUACUAUCAGCCUCAGCACCUACAACACAACAUCAGGUUACUAUCAGCCUCAG